RNAcentral lists this ribosomal RNA (253 nucleotides) under uncultured bacterium. RNAcentral describes it as "partial 16S ribosomal RNA". It matches the Rfam family "Bacterial small subunit ribosomal RNA", at positions 524 to 776 of the family's 1533-position model. The record is from RNAcentral.
CACGUAGGGUGCGAGCGUUGUCCGGAAUUAUUGGGCGUAAAGAGCUUGUAGGCGGUUUGUCGCGUCUGCCGUGAAAUUUCGAGGCUCAACCUCGAACUUGCGGUGGGUACGGGCAGACUAGAGUGUGGUAGGGGAGACUGGAAUUCCUGGUGUAGCGGUGAAAUGCGCAGAUAUCAGGAAGAACACCCGUGGCUAAGGCGGCUCUCUAGUACGGUACUGACGCUGAGACGCGAAAGCGUGGGGAGCGAACAGG